AACAUCCCUAUGGUGAAUGCCAGGUGGUGAUGUCCCUGAAGUGACCAAGCUGUGGCUCAGGGGUAGAGCCAGUAUCUUGUUAUCAGAAGGUCACUGGGUUGAUUGCCCUGGUCUGCAUGUCGAAGUGUCCUUGUGCAAGAUACUGAACCCCAAAUUGCUCCCGGCACAUUGUAUAACAGCCACCGCCAUCUGUGUAUGAAUGAUGGCAAAGGCAUGACCCAUGGGGGUUACUCACAUGAAUGAAACAGGAGCAGGAGCGUGAACAGGAGCAUGAACAAGAGCAUGGACAAAAGCAUGGACAAAAGCAUGAACAAGAGCAUGGACAAGAGCAUGGACAAGAGCAUGGACAAGAGCGGACAGAAGACAGAAAACAAUGACCAGACAAGGAAUGAGGGGAACACAGAGACUAAGUACACAGACACUAAUGACAU
Long non-coding RNA from Acanthopagrus latus (yellowfin seabream), 431 nucleotides. RefSeq lists it as uncharacterized. The transcript is spliced from 3 exons. Lineage: Eukaryota; Metazoa; Chordata; Actinopteri; Spariformes; Sparidae. The record is from RefSeq and is a predicted model, not a curated record.